GAUCAUGGCUCAGGAUGAACGCUAGCUACAGGCUUAACACAUGCAAGUCGAGGGGCAGCAUGGUCUUAGCUUGCUAAGGCUGAUGGCGACCGGCGCACGGGUGAGUAACACGUAUCCAACCUGCCGUCUACUCUUGGCCAGCCUUCUGAAAGGAAGAUUAAUCCAGGAUGGCAUCAUGAGUUCACAUGUCCGCAUGAUUAAAGGUAUUUUCCGGGUAAGACGA
Molecule: ribosomal RNA, 223 nt
Filed under: uncultured bacterium
Lineage: Bacteria
Description: partial 16S ribosomal RNA
Rfam family: Bacterial small subunit ribosomal RNA
Source: RNAcentral